Molecule: ribosomal RNA, 253 nt
Filed under: uncultured bacterium
Lineage: Bacteria
Description: partial 16S ribosomal RNA
Rfam family: Bacterial small subunit ribosomal RNA
Source: RNAcentral
UACGUAGGGGGCAAGCGUUGUCCGGAAUUAUUGGGCGUAAAGAGCGCGUAGGCGGUCCGGUAAGUCGGUUGUGAAAGUCGGGGGCUCAACCCUCGGAUGCCGAUCGAUACUGUCGGGCUAGAGUCCGGAAGAGGCGAGUGGAAUUCCUGGUGUAGCGGUGAAAUGCGCAGAUAUCAGGAGGAACACCAAUGGCGAAGGCAGCUCGCUGGGACGGUACUGACGCUGAGGCGCGAAAGCGUGGGGAGCGAACAGG